Molecule: ribosomal RNA, 618 nt
Filed under: Krasilnikovozyma sp.
Lineage: Eukaryota; Fungi; Basidiomycota; Tremellomycetes; Cystofilobasidiales; Mrakiaceae
Description: partial large subunit ribosomal RNA
Rfam family: Eukaryotic large subunit ribosomal RNA
Source: RNAcentral
AGCGGAGGAAAAGAAACUAACAAGGAUUCCCCUAGUAACGGCGAGUGAAGCGGGAUGAGCUCAAAUUUUAAAUCUGGUGUCCUUCGGGCAUCCGAAUUGUAAUCUCGAGAAGUGUUUUCCGCGUUGGCCUGUGUACAAGUCCCUUGGAAUAGGGCGUCAUAGAGGGUGAGAAUCCCGUGCUUGAUACAGACCCCAAUGCUAUGUGAUACACUCUCAAUGAGUCGAGUUGUUUGGGAAUGCAGCUCAAAAUGGGUGGUAAAUUCCAUCUAAAGCUAAAUAUAGGCGAGAGACCGAUAGCGAACAAGUACCGUGAGGGAAAGAUGAAAAGCACUUUGGAAAGAGAGUUAAACAGUACGUGAAAUUGUUAAAAGGGAAACGAUUGAAGUCAGUCAUGCUUUUCUGGAUUCAGCUUGUUCUACAAGUGUACUUCCAGUCUUGCAGGCCAGCAUCAGUUUUGUUUGGUGGAAAAAGUUUAGAGGAACGUGGCAACCCCGGUUGUGUUAUAGCCUCUAUUCGCAUACAUCAGAUGGGACUGAGGAACGCAGUGCGCCUUUAUGGCCGGUCUUCGGACACGUACGCACUUAGGAUGCUGGCAUAAUGGCUUUAAACGACCCGUCU